GAUGAACGCUGGCGGCGUGCCUAAUACAUGCAAGUCGAGCGAACAGACGAGGAGCUUGCUCCUUUGACGUUAGCGGCGGACGGGUGAGUAACACGUGGAUAACCUACCUAUAAGACUGGGAUAAAUUCGGGAAACCGGAGCUAAUACCGGAUAACAUGUUGAACCGCAUGGUUCAACAGUGAAAGACGGUCUUGCUGUCACUUAUAGAUGGAUCCGCGCCGCAUUAGCUAGUUGGUAAGGUAACGGCUUACCAAGGCAACGAUGCGUAGCCGACCUGAGAGGGUGAUCGGCCACACUGGAACUGAGACACGGUCCAGACUCCUACGGGAGGCAGCAGUAGGGAAUCUUCCGCAAUGGGCGAAAGCCUGACGGAGCAACGCCGCGUGAGUGAAGAAGGUCUUCGGAUCGUAAAACUCUGUUAUUAGGGAAGAACAAAUGUGUAAGUAACUAUGCACGUCUUGACGGUACCUAAUCAGAAAGCCACGGCUAACUACGUG
Molecule: ribosomal RNA, 497 nt
Filed under: uncultured bacterium
Lineage: Bacteria
Description: partial 16S ribosomal RNA
Rfam family: Bacterial small subunit ribosomal RNA
Source: RNAcentral